Molecule: ribosomal RNA, 483 nt
Filed under: uncultured bacterium
Lineage: Bacteria
Description: bacterial SSU rRNA
Rfam family: Bacterial small subunit ribosomal RNA
Source: RNAcentral
GACGAACGCUGGCGGCGUGCUUAACACAUGCAAGUCGAACGAUGAACCGGAGCUUGCUCCGGGGAUUAGUGGCGAACGGGUGAGUAACACGUGGGCAACCUGCCCCAGACAUCGGGAUAAUCAUUCGAAAGGAUGGCUAAUACCGGAUAUGACCACUUCGGGCAUCCGAUGGUGGUGGAAAGGAUUCUGGUCUGGGAUGGGCCCGCGGCCUAUCAGCUAGUUGGUGGGGUAAUGGCCUACCAAGGCGACGACGGGUAGCCGGCCUGAGAGGGCGACCGGCCACACUGGGACUGAGACACGGCCCAGACUCCUACGGGAGGCAGCAGUGGGGAAUAUUGCGCAAUGGGCGAAAGCCUGACGCAGCGACGCCGCGUGAGGGACGAAGGUCUUCGGAUUGUAAACCUCUUUCAGCAGGGACGAAGCGAAAGUGACUGUACCUGCAGAAGAAGCACCGGCUAACUACGUGCCAGCAGCCGCGGUAAU